CUUGUACACACUGCCCGUCACGCCAUGGAAGUUGGUUUUACCCGAAGCCGGUUGCUUAACCGCAAGGAGAGCGCCGUCCACGGUAAUAUCAAUGACUGGGGUG
RNAcentral lists this ribosomal RNA (103 nucleotides) under uncultured bacterium. RNAcentral's name for it is "partial 16S ribosomal RNA". It matches the Rfam family "Bacterial small subunit ribosomal RNA", at positions 1380 to 1482 of the family's 1533-position model. The record is from RNAcentral.